This 472-nucleotide ribosomal RNA is filed under the name uncultured bacterium. RNAcentral describes it as "bacterial SSU rRNA". It matches the Rfam family "Bacterial small subunit ribosomal RNA", at positions 8 to 507 of the family's 1533-position model. The record is from RNAcentral.
AGAGUUUGAUCAUGGCUCAGGAUGAACGCUGGCGGCGUGCCUAACACAUGCAAGUCGAGCGAUCUUCUUCGGAAGAGAGCGGCGGACGGGUGAGUAACGCGUGGGUAACCUGCCCCAUACACAUGGAUAACAUACCGAAAGGUAUGCUAAUACAAGAUGAUAUAAGAGAUUCGCAUGGAUUUCUUAUCAAAGCUCCGGCGGUAUGAGAUGGACCCGCGUCUGAUUAGCUAGUUGGUAAGGUAAUGGCUUACCAAGGCGACGAUCAGUAGCCGACCUGAGAGGGUGAUCGGCCACAUCGGAACUGAGACACGGUCCAAACUCCUACGGGAGGCAGCAGUGGGGAAUAUUGCACAAUGGGCGAAAGCCUGAUGCAGCAACGCCGCGUGAGCGAUGAAGGCCUUCGGGUCGUAAAGCUCUGUCCUCAAGGAAGGUAAUGACGGUACUUGAGGAGGAAGCCCCGGCUAACUACGUG